This 501-nucleotide ribosomal RNA is filed under the name uncultured bacterium. RNAcentral's name for it is "partial 16S ribosomal RNA". It matches the Rfam family "Bacterial small subunit ribosomal RNA", at positions 30 to 523 of the family's 1533-position model. The record is from RNAcentral.
AUUGAACGCUGGCGGCAUGCCUUACACAUGCAAGUCGAACGGCAGCACGGGUGCUUGCACCUGGUGGCGAGUGGCGAACGGGUGAGUAAUAUAUCGGAACGUACCUUAUUGUGGGGGAUAACGCAGCGAAAGCUGUGCUAAUACCGCAUAAUCCCUAAGGGGGAAAGCGGGGGACCGUAAGGCCUCGCGCAAUUAGAGCGGCCGAUACCUGAUUAGCUAGUUGGUGAGGUAAAGGCACACCAAGGCAACGAUCAGUAGCUGGUCUGAGAGGACGAUCAGCCACACUGGGACGGAGACACGGACCAGACUCCUACGGGAGGCAGCAGUGGGGAAUUUUGGACAAUGGGGGCAACCCUGAUCCAGCAAUGCCGCGUGAGUGGAGAAGGCCUUCGGGUUGUAAAGCUCUUUUGUCAGGGAAGAAACAGCAGCUCUAACACAGUUUGCGAAUGACGGUACCUGAAGAAUAAGCACCUGCUAACUACGUGCCAGCAGCCGCGGUAA